Molecule: ribosomal RNA, 355 nt
Filed under: Arthrobacter sp. 3-24(2012)
Lineage: Bacteria; Bacillati; Actinomycetota; Actinomycetes; Micrococcales; Micrococcaceae
Description: bacterial SSU rRNA
Rfam family: Bacterial small subunit ribosomal RNA
Source: RNAcentral
GCUUGCUGGGUGGAUUAGUGGCGAACGGGUGAGUAACACGUGAGUAACCUGCCCCCGACUCUGGGAUAAGCCCGGGAAACUGGGUCUAAUACCGGAUAUGACCUCGCACCGCAUGGUGCGGGGUGGAAAGAUUUAUCGGUGGGGGAUGGACUCGCGGCCUAUCAGCUUGUUGGUGAGGUAAUGGCUCACCAAGGCGACGACGGGUAGCCGGCCUGAGAGGGUGACCGGCCACACUGGGACUGAGACACGGCCCAGACUCCUACGGGAGGCAGCAGUGGGGAAUAUUGCACAAUGGGCGAAAGCCUGAUGCAGCGACGCCGCGUGAGGGAUGACGGCCUUCGGGUUGUAAACCUCU